This 262-nucleotide ribosomal RNA is filed under the name uncultured bacterium. Its description in RNAcentral is "partial 16S ribosomal RNA". It matches the Rfam family "Bacterial small subunit ribosomal RNA", at positions 524 to 785 of the family's 1533-position model. The record is from RNAcentral.
UACAGAGGGAGCAAGCGUUGUUCGGAAUUACUGGGCGUAAAGGGCGCGUAGGCGGUCCGAUAAGUCCCGUGUGAAAUCCCUCGGCUCAACUGAGGAAUGGCACGGGAAACUGACGGGCUUGAGUUCGGGAGAGGGAAGCGGAAUUCCGGGUGUAGCGGUGAAAUGCGUAGAUAUCCGGAGGAACACCGGUGGCGAAGGCGGCUUCCUGGACCGACACUGACGCUGAGGCGCGAAAGCUAGGGGAGCAAACGGGAUUAGAACU